This 287-nucleotide long non-coding RNA is filed under the name Trifolium pratense (red clover). RNAcentral's name for it is "long non-coding RNA (TPRA_LNC001658)". Lineage: Eukaryota; Viridiplantae; Streptophyta; Magnoliopsida; Fabales; Fabaceae. The record is from RNAcentral.
AAAUAAACAACGUUUUUAAAGACCAACCGUAAACAUCCAUGUAUCCAAAGGUAGACCCCCACUCACCGUAUGUCAUGAUGGGAUCAAGGAGUGAUGUGACCACCAGAUGCAAAGGAUUUGAAAGGAUUGUUAUGAAACUGUGUAGAGCCACUGAGAGAAUUCAUUCUUGAAUAUGAUGUAUUUGAAGAACUACCUAAAUUUAUGCAAAAAAAAAAUUAAAUUGUUAUUUAAAAUUGCCUAGUGUUAUGAAUGAAGGUGGGUUUUUGUGACAAAGAGAAUACAACGAG